RNAcentral lists this ribosomal RNA (503 nucleotides) under uncultured bacterium. RNAcentral describes it as "partial 16S ribosomal RNA". It matches the Rfam family "Bacterial small subunit ribosomal RNA", at positions 30 to 523 of the family's 1533-position model. The record is from RNAcentral.
AUUGAACGCUGGCGGCAGGCUUAACACAUGCAAGUCGAGCGGGGUGAUGGUGCUUGCACUAUCACUUAGCGGCGGACGGGUGAGUAAUGCUUAGGAAUCUGCCUAUUAGUGGGGGACAACAUCUCGAAAGGGAUGCUAAUACCGCAUACGUCCUACGGGAGAAAGCAGGGGGUCACUUGUGACCUUGCGCUAAUAGAUGAGCCUAAGUCGGAUUAGCUAGUUGGUGGGGUAAAGGCCUACCAAGGCGACGAUCUGUAGCGGGUCUGAGAGGAUGAGCCGCCACACUGGGACUGAGACACGGCCCAGACUCCUACGGGAGGCAGCAGUGGGGAAUAUUGGACAAUGGGGGGAACCCUGAUCCAGCCAUGCCGCGUGUGUGAAGAAGGCCUUAUGGUUGUAAAGCACUUUAAGCGAGGAGGAGGCUCUUUUGGUUAAUACCCAAGAUGAGUGGACGUUACUCGCAGAAUAAGCACCGGCUAACUCUGUGCCAGCAGCCGCCGUAA